This 253-nucleotide ribosomal RNA is filed under the name uncultured bacterium. RNAcentral describes it as "partial 16S ribosomal RNA". It matches the Rfam family "Bacterial small subunit ribosomal RNA", at positions 524 to 776 of the family's 1533-position model. The record is from RNAcentral.
UACGUAGGGGGCGAGCGUUGUCCGGAUUCAUUGGGCGUAAAGCGCUUUAAGGCGGUUCGGUAAGUCGCGUGUGAAACCUCCAGGCUCAACCUCGAGACGCCGAUGGAAACCAUCAGACUAGAGUCCGGAAGAGGAGAGUGGAAUUCCUGGUGUAGCGGUGAAAUGCGCAGAUAUCAGGAAGAACACCCGUGGCUAAGGCGGCUCUCUAGUACGGUACUGACGCUGAGACGCGAAAGCGUGGGGAGCGAACAGG